Molecule: transfer RNA, 70 nt
Filed under: Sphaerodactylus glaucus
Lineage: Eukaryota; Metazoa; Chordata; Lepidosauria; Squamata; Sphaerodactylidae
Description: tRNA-Ala
Source: RNAcentral
GGGGCCUUAGCUUAAUUAAAGUGUCUGGGUUGCAGUCASAAGAUGUAUUUUAGAGAUAUACAGGUCUUGG